This 254-nucleotide ribosomal RNA is filed under the name uncultured bacterium. RNAcentral describes it as "partial 16S ribosomal RNA". It matches the Rfam family "Bacterial small subunit ribosomal RNA", at positions 524 to 776 of the family's 1533-position model. The record is from RNAcentral.
UACGUAGGGGGCGAGCGUUGUCCGGAUUCAUUGGGCGUAAAGCGCUUUAAGGCGGUUCCCUAAGUCGGGUGUGAAACCUCCAGGCUCAACCUGGAGACGCCACUCGAUACUGGCGUGACUAGAGUUCGGUAGGGGACCACGGAAUUCCUGGUGUAGCGGUGAAAUGCGCAGAUAUCAGGAGGAACACCAGUGGCGAAGGCGGUGGUCUGGGCCGAUACUGACGCUGUAGAGCGAAAGCGUGGGGAGCGAACAGG